Molecule: long non-coding RNA, 7410 nt
Organism: Anopheles arabiensis
Lineage: Eukaryota; Metazoa; Arthropoda; Insecta; Diptera; Culicidae
Exons: 5
Source: RefSeq, a predicted model, not a curated record
UAUUGCUUUUUAACGUGAUCAGCAGUCUUGUUCUCGUAGGCUGGUUGCCUAGAACGAUAGGGAAUAUGUUUUAGCUUGUCACGGGUCCUUUUUUCAGGACCUUUUCCUCGGUUUUGGCAAAAGUAAAAAAAAAAAACGCUUGGGAACGGGGCUAAUGGUUUUAACGACAUGUGUAAUUCUAAGCUUUAUUAAAUGAACUACCCUUUUAGUUUUAUCCUUUCGCGGUCAUCGCGGCAUUGGAGGGCGUGUGUGUGUGUGUGUAUGUGUCUCGUUCCACUGGAAAUCAAACGAACAAUUACGACCAGAUUGAAGGCAGACUAAGACUAAUGUGUUUAAAAAAACCGUUCCCUGUCUAAGCUAAACGUAGGCUUUUGGGUGGCAUUUAGCUGAGAUUAAAGUAAAGCGCCCCUCGGUGUUAAUUGCUCGACUCUUUUUUAAGCUUAAACAUUGAACUAAAAAGGCAAAUGAGUGGCAAUUCUGCUCUAUCUACUGACGUUUGCUUUUCGGUCUUCCCCAUUCGCGUCCACGCGCAAUUCCGUCCAAUGCUCAUCCAUUCCCGGAUCCCACACACUGGCGACAAGUUUUGGUGGAUCUCAAAGUUCGGUGUCUUUCAUGUAAUAAUGUGAUCUUCUUUUAUUUCCAAUUUAAACAAACAAACAAAAAAAGCGUAUUCUCUCGGUUUGGGUUUUGCUUUAAAUUAGGUUGUUGCCCUCCUGUUGGUACAAAUCGUUUAAACGCACCGUAUGUGUGUCUGUGUGUGUAUGUAGGUACACACGUAUCCACUGUGUGUAUAUGUAUGUGUAUUAGUGUGUGUUUGUGUGUGUGUAUUUUUUAAUGUAAAGUAUAUGCGAGCGGGGGACAGUGCACACUCUCCCGAACUACCGCACCUUAUACACAAUAUCUUGUAGACUUUUAGUAGCAAAUCUUUAAUAACAGCGAAAACCCCCCGACGACCAACGUAUGUGCGUCCACCCCCUUUAUCCCCUCUUUAGUGUGUAGUGUGUUUAAUGUAUAUUUAUUUAAAACAAAGCAAAAGAAAAACAAACGAAAACCUCUAGCAACUUACCACCGGAUGUGUCGUGUGGGGAGCGUUUCUCCUCCACCACAACGCAAAGAUCUCUUAUGUGAACGCACCCGGCUAUUAUGAUGGUGUAGCGGAGGACGGGUCUCUUUUGUUGCGAUGAUGAUGAUGAUGAUGAUGAUGAUGGAAAACGAUGAUCUGGGGUUACACGUGUUUAUUCCACCGGUAGGCUAAUAGAUGAAAAGCUUUGUAUGAAGAUAUCCGUUCUUGCAACACAAGUUCAGUGCGGCGAAAAGGGAAAAGGAAGGAGCAGUAGUGUCUCUCACCUUCCCCGACAGCUUGCUGAAGACUGCAGUCGAUUUAAAUCAGCACAACUACUGCUGGGAAAAGCUACUUUGUUGUAGCUUAACCUUUUUAGUAGAGAUCACCAUUCAUUCAGGGGCUCAGGAAAGUACGGCUCUCCCUCCACGCCUAGGGAAACGAUCCUCGCUAGGAUCGCUAGCUUUGCUGGGCGUGUGUGGAUUCGUAUUCGUUUUUACUUGGCCUCUUUUUUUUGGCACAUUUGUUUUUGGCAUUUGAAACUGUUUGGAUUUGGUGUUCGGUAGCGAGAAAACAGCGAAAUUAAUGUGUAUGUAGUACGUACCGCCACAUUACCCAAUUAACCGAAAAUAGACGCAAUCCAGGAUGAUGAGAAUUGGACACACGUGGACGUGAAGCGUUAACAUGCGUAGGGAUGGGAAUGAAAUGUAAACGCUAUCAAGAGUGAAAUACGGCGUGGAAUAGAAUUUUCAAAUUAGAAUGUGAACAAUUGAUCCUCUCUCAUUGCAAGUUACCAUAGCCACGAACCAUCACUUUCCCAUUGGAUUGAUCGUCAAACAUGAUCGCCCAACACGACUAGAGCGACACCGCGAUCCGUUUGUUUAAUCAAAAAAUCUUAUCUGAUCAUCUGCGAAAGGACAUCUUACUAACAACGUCUUCACGAAGAAUGUGCCUCUAUGGUGCUAUUCCACGAUCAGUCUGCACACUGUUUCCCUCUGUCUCGUGACACGUGUACUACAACGGACAAACGACACAGCUAAAGUAAAAGCUAUUGUUUUUAUGUAAGGCUUAUGUGUCUUAUAAGCAAAAAUACACAUCCUUCACCCCCCCUCCCCACCCUUUCUAGCUGUGUAAACAACACACACAGGAACCGUUUAUUUUUUAAGCUACUUGCAAGCAUAAAACUGAUCAACUCAUCAUUAUUAUUAGCAUAAUUUGGUGGGACACCACAUUUGUUGCACAAUUUUUGUCCUUUAUUUUAAACUUCCCCUCUUGUUGUCGCCCUCCUUUGUCUGACUAACAGCUGUCCUCGUAACGAAACGCAAAAGGAAGAAAUCCUAAAUCGUACUCCUCGAUACCAUAAUACGGCUAAUUGUGAUUUUGUGUUUUUAAUGUUAGGCUUUUCCGUUUAAACUCCCUAAAAUGCUUUCCCUCACUCUACACCCAUACGCACACGGCCCUUCCCCAUCCCUCAUUAAUUUUAGCGUCGUGUUGUGAGUGUGUUUCGUUUCACAUGCGUUAAAGUGCGUUCAUAUGUAGCUUCCUUUCUAAUUCUCUUUUUUUUUAAAGGCCAAUGUAAUAGUCAUUUAUAACCGUUAAACACUUAUUGAGAAUAAAUAUAUCUAUAUUAUAUACACACAAAUGAAGCAUGUAAAAACAACGGGUGAGCCUUUAAAAUGAUGUUGAAAUAUGGUAAUGUGUUGCAAAAAGAGAAAGAAAGAAAGAAACAUAAACAAAUUUUAAUCGCUUCUUUGCAAGUGAUCGCGAUCGUGUGCUCGAUCGUGCCGCGAAAGGACCCAUUAUUUCUUUGUUUUGUUUUUUGUUUGUUUUGCUGUGUGUACAAGCAACCAAAUAUUUGUAAAGUACACACAGAAAAUGCACGAACGCGUGCCACGAUUGGAAAAACUGCCGCGGACUUGGGGUGGUGGCCGCGUGGUAAAUGUUUAUUUAAUUCGGAAAGGCAAAGCAACUGUGCGUGUUCCCUUACAAAAGGCACAAAAGUGCAAACAUUCGUGAAUGGUAAAUAGUUGUAAAUGUAGCACGCACAAACACACACACACGCAAGUCAUUCAAACGGAGCAAACAAACAAACAAACAAACAUAACCUUCUUGGGAGCUUACUUCUUACUUGCCUUAGUAGCCUGCACCUUUUGAUGUGGAAUCGGAGAGAGAGAGAGAGAGAGAGAAAGUGCACAGAAUGCAUACAAGCAUUUGAUGAUGCUUUAUGCUAGCCGUUUUCUCGCUGAUGGUCGGUCCUCAUGGACGUAUUGGAUUCGUUCCGCAUAAUUAAGUGCCGCCAGCGUGUUCGGUUGGGACGGUCCGUGCAAUAGUAAUGAGUCACAGACGUCGCGGCGCACCAGAGUCUAUGGUGCAAUUGGGGCUGCAGCAGAUGCAGCGCGGGUGCUGCUUUACGUGCCUCUCUAGCUAUCCCCCUUACGCUGAAAGUCCUCCCCCCCCUCCCGAGCGGUUGCAAUUCUGGUGCGGUGGGUGUGGUGCAUGAUGAUGAUAAAAUGCAGGUCAUUCUUUUAGUUAGAGUCCGAUAAAACCCCCGACCCCGACGACAAUGGGGGAGUUGGAGUUGGUUGUAAGCGGCAAUCCUGGGCAUUAAAUCAUUACACUCGAUGCAUCUCCAAUAUGACGGCAAGCCGAGGAAACGCCGAAGGAAAUGAAACGUAAAGUACAAAAUCAUGUUCUGUUCGUGCACACACGGCGGGGGUUCGUUGCUUAGUUUGUUUUGUUUUUUGUUUAAUUCAAUUUCCUUUCCGAUUGCAGAGGGAUGAUGUUUGCCUGCUCUGGGCUGGGAGUUGCACUUCCGGCUGGUGCAACUGCAAACGGGGAAACAAUUCCGACGGAAGGGACACAGUUGGUCGCUGAGGAAGGCAAAGCGGAAGAGGAAGAAAUGGAGUUAAAAACUGGAAAAAAAGAACGGUAAAUGUGAUAAGAACACCCACAAAAAAAAAAAAACAGGAAAGAGUGGCCUGUAUGUCCCGGAAGUGUGCAAUGAUAUUGAAAUUCCAAUCAUUCCGGUGCAACUUUGCUGGUGUUUAUCUUUCGGUUUCAGCUGUUUUAUUUGCUCCGAAACCACCGAUUUGUAAUGUAGGAGGAGAAGGAUAUGGAGAAUGGGCACAAAUUCCUGGUUCGAUUACUUCUGUCCUAUCCGCCAUCUUGACUGACCGUGCACAGAAGUCUAGGACUGACAUCAUUUUCAAACUCAUUUCUGUUGUCACGGUACACUAAAAAUGCAUGAAAGCUCAUCAUAGUAGGUAGAUUCGGUCGCAGGACAGCGAGAUACUUUAACAUUAUCGUAAUAGGCGACGGCCCAAUGUUUAUAUUGACAGGGAAGCGUGACACGAUUGACAGGUUGUUUUGUAAAUCAUUUAGGGCGAAGAAGACGAAAAAAAUACGAAUUUGACCAACAAUCAACGACCCUUGAAUCGUUUUGUCUACCCAUUUACACACACACACACACACCCGUGGCCUGGAAAGGAAGAUGAACCUUUUUGUGUGAACCGUAGACAAGAACCGGUCGUGGAAGUGUGUUCUUCCCGUGUGGCACGUGCUCUUCCCUACGCAAGGAAGGGGGUCGCUGCGGGGUUGCUUGAGGCGGAAGUAAACGAAAACCAAUUUCGCGUCAACUUCCUGGUGCUGUGUACUGUGUACCGCUUUAUCUGGUAUUUGUUAUCCGGAAAACAAGUCCAAGUCGUUGCCGGUGAAGAAGUAGGCCAGUCGUGUGUCUGUCACCACGGAACAUUUGUGGGGGUUUGCUGCAUAUCGAAGGAAAUUAUUCUUGGGAGAGAGAGAGCUGAUGAGCUGGAGAAAUGGUGUUUAAUUAAGGAUGUGCAUGAGCCCUUAAUCUGGAACUGAAUUUUACUUACGGUUUUGGAGACUUUCUCAGACAUUUUUUAGUUCCUCAAACAUCCUGAAACAUAGCAAGAAUCAUUGGAGUAACGUCCUUUAUGAUACAAGUGUUAGUGAAAUAGUAGUGAAUUAAGCAGACAGAAUCCCCCUCCAAUAUCCUUAUUUCGAUGACUAUUCACUAUCGGUGGCUUCAAACUGGGACUUCCUGGGGUUGCUGUGAAGCUGGAAAAGCCAUUUUUCAUGGCCUGCUACUACUGGUGACUGACACAUCUGUGUUGGCCUGUUGUCAUCCUGUUGCCUGUACGCAGUUGCAGUCACUCGUGUCAUUCGUGUGAUAAAUAUUCCAGUCACUCAAAUUAGGCGUAGUACAAGUAUCCUCCAAGGAUAAUGCGUAAGACACCGUAAGGGAGAAAGAAAUUCACGGAAGUUUCUGUGGACUGGACGGAUCAUCAUCAUGAUGUGUACCGGCAGAGAGAUAGAGAGGAAGAGGACGCAGAAUGUUGACGGGUACAUGUUGCUUCCGCUGUUUGCAAGGCUCUCCGACUUCUCCGAGUGUUAACGGGGAAAAUCGAUAGUGCCGGAUGAAAGUUUGCCGGCUUGUUGCUCGCGGACAAUUUUGCGGGCUCCCCCCACUACCAGAACGUCCUUCGGCAUGACGUUUAUGCGUUUUUGCUUCCAUUUCAUCGCCUACUUCGCUCUUCCACUCCCACCGAACGGGGUGAUGUAGCUACCGAUUUUUAUAUGGUUGCCUUUUUUUUCCAUCCGCCUACCAUCACCACCGUCUCGUGCUUGUUUGGUGGCUCUUCUGCUGCAUCUGUGUCAUUGCCGAUUUGUGUUGUUGUCUCCCCAAUCGGAUCGGUUUUGUCCACGCGGAACUAAUGCAAACCCAACGUGGUAGGCCACACCCAAGCGCACUAUUUUCUUUUUUUUUGUUUCACCCCAAACGGGGGACAUAUGGUGCCGUGCUCCAACCGUGCGUGCGUGCGUGUGUUGUCAUCGGUAUGUGUCGCUUUCGCCUGAUUCGAGCAUCGCGCACACAGGCGAAACCUCCGCACGAGUCCUUUCGCGUGAAGGGAAAAAGGAUCUAAAGGGAAGCGAAGGGUGAUGAAUAAUUCAUGGCGCAUGAUAAUAUUAUAGGGCACGAGAGUGGGAGAGAGAGGGCGGGGGUGGGGAGGUCAUUGCUGCCUUCUGCGCCCGCAAAACGGUAGCGCAAAAAUGUGGGGAAGUAUUCGAAAUUCGAGUAAAAAAGCAAGACGCACUGAUGACGAAGUGACUUGUUUUUGUGUUUCUUGUUGCAGGCAGAACACAUCUCCCGAAGGAGUACUAAUCUGGGCUUAAGACGUAUUGGAAGCAGCAUGGAGAACUUCCCUUGGAAAAACAGUGACCACGAAAUGUCAGUUUCAAGCAAAUUUCGGUUUUGCCUCACAGAAGUUGCAACCGGCAAAACGACCACAUGGAAAAACAAAAUAAGUAUCCCUCACUCAUCCCUUGCCGCCUCCAGGAAGGGCCACAUAAUGGGAUGGUGGGGAUGGCGAUGAGGAGUGUCCUCUUACCUACACCAACCUGGGAUGGCUGGCUUCGCUGGCUGGCCACGUGUACAGUCCAGAUGGCUGACUGGGUGUCGGUUUUGCGCCCCUUUUCGCGCGCUGUCGCUCGUACUGCGCAGACUCACGCCCCAGCGCUGUCGCCACCGUCGGGGCACGUUGGUCUGUGUGUGUUUCCGGCUUUUCCACGAUGCCGGUUUCGGUGGGGAGGGAGGCUGUCGCGGGAUGCGUUUUAGUGACGUGUCUGGACGAUCGACCCCGAAGAUAAGACCCGCGGGGGAUUGGGUCUCUCUCUCUCUCUCUCUCGCUCUUUUACGCGUGAAGUAGACUAGCUAUUGGGGAAUGGGGAUGCGGAUACUUCCAGCACACACCCCUGUCGUCGUUUGUCUGUCUGGUCUGACCCGGGUCCGAGGAGGGGGGUUACGGGUAGCUUGUCUUGUCUGUUCGUUUCUCCAAUCGCCCAAUUGCUUCGGAAAAGGGUGCAUGGGGUUUGGCACGUGCGGGGAAAGGAGGGGGGUUGCAAAAUUCAAUCCAGAAUUAGUGUGAAGUUCAACGGGAAGUACUUGGUCGUGUGUGCGUGGUGCGUUACUGCUGCCUUGCGCAAGCACCCAGCAGGAAAUGCAACUACUUUUUGGGUAGUGGUAGUGGUGUGUGUGUGAGAGUUGAAAUGUGUUUGUUUGUUCACAAGUUUUACAUCACAUUAAGGUAAUAAAAAUGAGAUGAUGAAAUUUGCAAUUCAAACGACACUCACAGACACACACGCACACCGUGUGUGCGCGGCUGUAUACUGGAAUUGCACUGCGGAUGUACUUUUUUGGAUAAUAAUUUCAUUUUUAAUGUUUUUGAUAUAUUUGUAAUGUUUUUGUUUGUUUUUGUUUUUGAUAUAUUUGUAUUUGCAUCGUUUGCAUCGAAAAAAGGCGUAUUAAAUUGUACAUUGAUUAUUUUUCA